AUAUCUCUCUGUACGGGAAGGAUGAGAAGCUUCGACCAAGGUUCGAUUCGAGCGCAGCGAGAAAGCGUUGCCGCAGGCAACGACCCGAAGGGCGAAGCGCGCAGCGCUG
RNAcentral lists this small RNA (109 nucleotides) under Salmonella enterica. RNAcentral's name for it is "partial RtT sRNA". It matches the Rfam family "RtT RNA", at positions 1 to 108 of the family's 130-position model. Rfam says of the family: This family represents a bacterial cis-regulatory element known as RtT RNA. The exact function of RtT is unknown although it is thought that it may be involved in changing the cellular response in relation to amino acid starvation. Lineage: Bacteria; Pseudomonadati; Pseudomonadota; Gammaproteobacteria; Enterobacterales; Enterobacteriaceae. RNAcentral also lists the same sequence under 2 other names. The record is from RNAcentral.